UACAGAGGUCUCAAGCGUUGUUCGGAUUCAUUGGGCGUAAAGGGCGCGUAGGCGGCGUGACAAGUCACUUGUGAAAUCUCCGGGCUUAACUCGGAACGGUCAAGUGAUACUGUCGUGCUAGAGUACAGAAGGGGCAACUGGAAUUCCCGGUGUAGCGGUGAAAUGCGCAGAUAUCGGGAGGAACACCAAUGGCGAAGGCAGCUCGCUGGGACGUUACUGACGCUGAGACGCGAAAGCGUGGGAGCAAACAGG
RNAcentral lists this ribosomal RNA (252 nucleotides) under uncultured bacterium. Its description in RNAcentral is "partial 16S ribosomal RNA". It matches the Rfam family "Bacterial small subunit ribosomal RNA", at positions 524 to 776 of the family's 1533-position model. The record is from RNAcentral.